Molecule: long non-coding RNA, 2170 nt
Organism: Megalobrama amblycephala (Wuchang bream)
Lineage: Eukaryota; Metazoa; Chordata; Actinopteri; Cypriniformes; Xenocyprididae
Exons: 3
Source: RefSeq, a predicted model, not a curated record
GCGCCGAACUCCUGCACCUGCUGUGAUUCUGCUGAAGAAAGAUGGCUUUUAUUAAAGAUGAGACUGAAGAUAUGAAGAUAAUUAUUAAAGAUGAGACUGAGGACAUGAAGAUUGAAGAUAUUGAGGAACAAACAGUUUUCAGCUCUUCCUGAUGCUCUUCUGAUGGGAAUAUUCCAGCAUUUAUUGAUGAACUGCUGUGGGAGGAGCUUCAUUGAUGAUGUGCCUACUGUGGGAGGAGCUUCACUGAUGACGUAACUGCUGUGGGAGGAGCUUCAUUGAUAGUGCUCUGUAGUGGGCAGAGCUUCACUGACUGAACUGCAGAUUGGUUGGAGGAGAUGAUCUGCCCAAAUCAAAAAUAUCAGUUAUUGUGUUUGUUUUUAUAGGGUUAAAGACCAGAAAUCAAAUUUUAGUAUCUGCAUCAAAUUAAAUGUACAAAAGCGAAUUUAAAUAGAAAAUCCAUUAAAUGCAAGUGUCUAUUUUAGUUUCAAAUUACUUUUGUGAAAACCAAAUGUAUUAAUGUCCAAUCAUCAUUUAGUGUAACAGAUAUAUUUAUGUAAAAAUGAAACAACAUUCAUUUUGACCAGUACUUAAUAAAGUAUAUAAAAGAGUAAGAGAUCAUACUAAAUUUCAUUAUAUUUUAAAUUAUUAAAAAACUUAUUGUUGACAAAUGAGUGAAAGCUAGUGGUUUGAAUGAUAGUGAUAACGUAUAAAGAUUUAAAAUGACAAUUAAAGAGUAUUUUGGGCUUCACUGUGAUCCUUCAAUACAGUGUUUGAAUGUCAGAAAAUGAUUCUCUUUCUAAAUAUGCCUGACGCUAAUGGCACUCAUCUUCAACAACCACUGCUGCUAAACAUUUUACCAAAUAAAAACUAAACAUUUAGUUUUAGAUAAAUUAAUUUAUUUAAUUAAUUGCACAAUGUAGUGAUUAAAUCACAAUUUAAUCGCAUGUCAAAUUUGGCUGAGAAAUUACCCCCAAAAGAUCAUCUAAGAGACAUUACUAAAAGUAGCUUUAAAUAUUUUAUUUGAUUCAACAUGAGGGUGAGUAAAUGAUAUUUAUUAAUAUGGAAAUACGAUUUAUUUAUUGAAGUUAUACUCUAAAAAAGAACCUAAAACUACCAGUAGGUGGCAGUAAAUGUCUUAAUGAGUGAUUCAUUGAGUCCUUCAUUCAUUUGAUUCGUUCAAACUGAUGAUUCAUUCAGGAAUUAAGUAAAGGGCUCUCUUUAUGAGUGCACCACUAAAUCAUUGAUUCACCCGAUUUCAUUCAGAAACAAAACGAAACACAACAUCAUUUAACAAUAACAUCAUAUAAUAACAACAUCAUACUAAAUUAAAAACAAAACAUUUAUAAUAGUUUUAGAUAAAUGGCUAUAUUAAUAAAAACAUGCUCCAGAAAGUGAUAAUGAUGUCCAUUCAGUGAAUGAAAGCUUUACAAAAAUUGCAAAUAGUUUAAGUAGAAAUCUAAGAUCUCAGAGUUUUUCUCUAAGUGAGAUCUUUCCAGCAGGAUUUGUGAGUCUGAGACGGGGAUAGUUUUCAGUUUCUGCACAUAAAACUGUUACAUGUUAAAUCUCUAAUUACUGUAUUACAAUGAAUCUUAUCAUAAAAUCAAACCAUGUUUCAUAGUUAUAGUUAAUUCAUACUUAUUUAGCAGCAGUGGUUGCUGAAGAUGAGUGUCAUUAGGGUUUGUUUUUGUAUUAUUGGUGUUUUAUCCGUGUCAUGUUGUGAGAAAUAACAGUAUUGUCUUUCAAUAGAGCAGUUUAUAAGAUUUUCUCAUAUAUCCUGACUCCAAUAAUCAGUUUCUAACAGCAAACACUCAGAAUAAAGUGAGAUUGAUGUGAAUGUCUUGUUGAAUGAGUGUUGAUAGUCUGAGGAUCAUCAAUAUUAACAGAGAAACUGCUGAAAACACUCUUUAUUUCAUGUCAAUAGUUCCUGUUUUCACCUCAUUUAUUAUGCUGAUGUCUUCAGAUCUGCUGUAAAUUGACACUUAAAGCUCAUUUCAUUGCUGUCAGCAGACUGAGGUGAUUUAAUGACUACAGAUAUGUACAAUUAUUUUUGUCUUUGUGUAGAACUGUUUUCCUUACCAUUAUCCAUAUUUGGAAUAAUUUUGUUACAUUAUAUUCUGUUAUCACUUAUAUAUAUAAAAAAUAAACCCCGUAACUGAUAUAUUUUUUUAUU